This is a long non-coding RNA of Ictalurus punctatus (channel catfish), 3456 nucleotides long. RefSeq lists it as uncharacterized. The transcript has 7 exons. The record is from RefSeq and is a predicted model, not a curated record. Lineage: Eukaryota; Metazoa; Chordata; Actinopteri; Siluriformes; Ictaluridae.
GAAGAGGAAAGUGGGCGAUGGGUGGGCAGCAAGCCAUCACAGCUUGCUUUGUAUUCCAUCUCACUCUUGUCGCUCGUUCUUUCCCUCCACCUGUCUGUGCUACCAUGCUCAGCUAUUUGUGCUGAAUCUCUUCCUUUUCUUUUCUCAUCUUUUUGUCAUGGACAGCAUGCUUGUAUAUUUAAUUUCUCAAAUCUUUCAUUCGCUCAUAAUUUCUGUCAUGUUUGAGAGUUGACGUGGACACACACACAUUGCAUGUUCUCUGUUUGUAUAGAGCUGAUAAUAGCUAAACUCUUUUGUAUGCUGAGGGUCUGCUAUCAGAUAUAAAAUGCAUGAGGGCUUGCGUGCACCUCCUGUUGUGCCACUACCAUCAGAUGGUUGAGAAUCCCUUGCUGAACCAAAUGCUUUGGAGUAAAGGGGAAAAAAGCAGCACAUGUCUGUGUGGAAGUGGUUGUUGAAUGUCUCAGCUAACAAUUUCAAGUUUUCAAAAUUACAGAUCUAGUAACUUUUGGUUCAAAUAACAUUCAAUCUAUUCGGUUUGUUCAUAGAAGAUUCUGAAUAUCUGCCGUAAUAAUGAGUUGCUUCAAAUUGUUGCUCACACAAUGUUUUAUAUUAGACAAACACUAAUAUUAAUGAACUAAUAUUAACUAGCUAAAAUUAUUAACUAAUGUUGUUGUCAAUGUUUCUGUAACUAAAAGGUGGCUUAGUGGUUAGCAUGUUUACUUGAUUAACACCUCUGCUCUGUGUGCAUGGAGUAUUCAUGUUCUCUUUGUGCUUUGGAGGUUUCCUCAAUAUUCUUCAGUUUCCUUCCCCAGUCCAAAGACAUGCAUUGUAGGCUGAUAGGCAUCUCUAAAUUGCCCAAUGGGUAUGUGAGUGUGUGUUUGUGCCCCAUGAUGGGUUGGACUCUGUCCAGGAUGUCCCCUGUGUGGUGCCGCGAGUUCCCAGGGAUAGGCUCCCUGUGACCCUCUGUAGGAUAAGCAGUAUGGAACAUGGAUGUUUUUAGAACAUUACAGGAACAUUAUUGUUUGGAACCUCAUAGCCUAACCUCUUCAAAAACCAAUGAAUACUUACCAGAUAUUUGAAUGAUGUUCUCUGUUAGCUGGGGCUCAUAAUAACGACCAUUCCGUCACCAAUUUGAUUGUAUAGUACGAUUAUGGUGUUAAAAGAGCCAGUAACUUUCUAACUUUGUAGCCCACAGUAAAAUACAGCCAUGUUAAAUACUAUAACACAUUGAGGCUGCUUUGAAUUCAGUUAAUCUUUCACCUUGAUCCCAUUGCUGGCAUCUCAUUAUCAACUCCUUGGUCAAGGAAGUGCACAGUUCAAAGAACAAUUACCUGAGAAAGUAAACAAACACAGUGGGGCAACACACAGGAGGUGGUGUAAUCCCCUGUGUGCAUGUGUGUCUGUGUAUAGUAGUAUAAAGUUACAACCCUAGGGCUGCACUUUUGGAGGCAGAGAGAUUGAACCCUUAAUGAAGAGCCAGGUGUUGGAGUAAUGAGUCUUAGUUCAGUAUUAAGGUCAGUUCGUUGUCCUUUCACAUACGGAUCAUACAGCGGUCUAAUGGGUGCAUCCCGAGAGUUUACGGAUGACCUCUGACACAUAUAUGUGAGUAAAGAGCCCAGUGGGACUGGAUACUACCAGACACACAGCUCGAAGGAUAUGGGGUCAUGUAGAGAACAAGAGUUAAGGACUUCCUGAGAGGAAAUGAAGUGGUCAUGAUGGAUCUGGAGCCUAUCCCAGGAACACUGAGUGUGAGGCAGUAAUGCAUACUUGAUGGGAUGCCAGUACAUCACAGGACACCAUGCACAGACACAGUUGCACAUUUAUUCACACUUUGGGGCAAUUUAGCACAGCCAGUCCACAUACAUCCAUGAUUUGGGAGAAGUCUGAUGGUGUAUACACUUGUGUGUGUGGGUGUCUGAUACUGCAGGGUGGAGUGGUAGGGGCUGAAAGAUUCCAAGGUCAGGUCAGGAGGUCAAGGCUAUGUGUGAGAUCUGCUCCUGUAGUACCUGGGCUGCACUCUCCUCCUUCACUGUCCUGCAUCAUGGCGGUCUGUGAUCGGUGCAUUCAUACAUACAGCGACUCGCAGUGACAAAGCGACUGGGGACCAUUCAUUUUCAGUGAGAGCUGGCGACUUCCGGCGACAUGAGUGACAGCGACAAUUAGCGACUAGAUGUGAAUGUGUCCAGCGACUUUGAAAGAAGUUUGAGAAAAGACUUGAGAAAAGUUUAACUUUAUGCAAAUUUGGAGUGACGGUGUAACUACUGUUGCUGUCUUUGCACUCAAGCAAUGUGUAUGUACAAAAAAUGAAGAGAAAAAGGGCCAGAAAGAGAGUAGCCUGAGUCGACCACUCUCCCAUCCCCAGUAUCCUCGUCUGAAUGGCUCAGUGUCCUGGUCCUCACCCCAGCUCAGGACCUGACAACUCCCUUAUUGAUGCUUAUCCAAGUCUACAGUGAUCACAUCAACAAGCUGUUCCUCCAUGCAUUCCUCCGUACACGUGAAUAAAGUCCCAUCUAACUGUAUUCGGAGAACACAGUAAAACAGUACAAAUGUAAAAUAUCUACAUUAAUUAAUUCAUUGAAGGCAGAUGUCAAAAUUCUCUGUAAAAUGUAUUAUUCUUUUGGUCUCAUAAAUUUGUAACCUUUUUCAGGAACAGUUAAAGGUUAGGGACGGGGUUAACAUUUGUACGUUUUUAGAUGAUUGCUUUGGAAUGAAAUUGAGUGAAAUCCAACCACAUUACCAUUACCAUUUACAUUUAUUCAUUUGGCAGAUGCUGUUAUCUAGAUUGACUUACAAAACAUCCAGUUAAGGCACAGUGAUAUAAGGACCUAGAGAAUCUGUAACGCUGCUUUCACAUCUAAAAUAUUAAUUCUUAGUCCGUAGGAUAUUCUUGAUUUUAGAAUAUUGUUGUAGAUCUCUCCAAUUGUAGUAUGUAAUCAUACAUUUUCAGAUAAUGUAUGUCAUUCAUAUUUAUGAGGCUGACCUAGGUGGGGAAAGGGUAGUGUGCAUGUGCCAGAUAGAGAGGGAGGGGAAAGGAAGGUCUCUGGAGGGAGAUAUGUGCAUACACAGAGCUGCUGCGGCAGCGCCAAGCCAGCAGACGCCGGUCGGAAGUUAGGGCGGAGCUAACCGGAAGCACAUCAGUUAUGGCGAGCAGCAGUUCCAGGCUGGCAGUGAGCAUCAUCACGUUUUGAAUUUUUCUUUCUGAAGUUCUUUGUAAAGCCAGUAUUUGUUAAAAUAUAUAUAACUGAAAUAAUAUAUUUUUUAUGCUAACAGUCAGCUAACAGUAAACAGCAAACAGUUUUCCAUCAAAUUAUUUGACUCAUAAGGUUUUUUUUUUUUUGGUUUUUUUUACAAAAGGUUCCACUCACCUUUGUUGAAUUAUGUGCUAUAUGUUUAAUACGCUAUAAAACAAUAUAUAUUAUAUAUUAUAUAUAUUUUCAAUUAAAGACAAAGAUUGAG